GAAUGUCUCGUUAUCGGAAAAGUAUGGUAGCCAUACACCAAAUGGUUUUUGCGUAUAGCUACCAUAUUACUUCCGAUAUGACUGUUGACAUUACUGCGGAUAUGACGGAGCAGUGCAUUGGCAAUAUGCCAAGGGCAGUAACAUGCCGUCAGUCACGUCAGUCAUCGGCCUUGGCUAUCUGUAAGAAUCUUGGCAGGAAUCUUGGCCUUUUCUUGGACCCAUAGCCUCGGCCUUCUACCAAUCAUAUCGCCGAAUUCGCAGGCAGUGAGAGACAAAUACGGCGUGCCGAAGACAUAUUGGGUGUCUCAAAAUCACUGAGAACUCUAUAGCUCAAAAUUUAAGCCCUGCACGUUUUUAGAUCUACCCCGUUGAGUGGCAUUCUUGUGAAAAUUAUGUAAAUAUGUUUAUCAGAAUAAGGGAGAAGUGUAGGGGGCGGCGGGUGAGGUGCAGAAGAAGAAUAAGAGGAAGUUGUACCUAUCCAGUAACUUUAUCUUGAUUUGUGGACUAGACGAAGACUAGAUUUUGAUGAAGAAAUUGAAAUCGAUAAACUUGAACUGCAGGACUCGUGGCGCUGCUCGCCUCCUCGCCAAUGCGAACGCGUUCUCUGAGGACAACCCGCCCAAGGCCAGCAUGACGAAGCCACGCCACCGCGCCGGCUAUAGACUCACGGCCUGAAGCGAGUUUGGGCGCGACGGCUGGCGAGCCAAGGCGGCGGAAAGUCGUCUGGCGGAGCUCCCGUCUGAGGCGAGCUUGAUCUGGUCAGACAGCUCCGCCACCGAUGGUGUGCUAGAUGGAGGAGGAGGGGCCACCCCCCCCCCCUGAACCGCGACAUCCGGGAGGUGCGUGUCGCGGCAGGCGCCCUCUGCUCUAGCACGCGCGGCGAGCUAUUCGCCCUAAGAGCGGUGUUGGAGGAGCUGUUGACCAAGACUGGUCGCGACACCUCUCUUCCGAUAAUUAUCGUCUGUACCGACUCGAUGGCGGCGCUGGCCCUCCUGCGGAGCGGCGCGGCGGCCCAGAGAGCCCCUCUGGCCGCAGACAUAUGGGGGCUGCUGGCAGCGCUCACCGAGGGGGCCAGCCAGUGAUAAUGCAGUGGGUUCCUGCACACUGCGGGCUUCCGGGCAACGAGCGGAUGGACGCCCUCGCGCGUGAGGCUGGCGCCCUAUCCCAACGGUAGCGCCGUCCGCCGAUCGACUUGGGCAGCACUAUCUGCAAGGCAGGCGCGCGCGACGCUGCGCGCGCCUGGCGGCGGAGCUGGCAGGACGGAUGACCCUGGCUGCCGCCGUGAGAACCAUCCAGAACCGUACGGCUAUGCUGCGGCAGCGGCUGAAAGGAACGCAACAACAAUAACUACAACAGCAGCUGCUAAUGAAAGGGGAAAUCAUGGAGCCGGAUGACCCGGCACAUGGCGCUCAGCCAGCUGAGAAUGAGAGCAGCUAUCAAAUCGCCAGCAGGGUGCUGCGGCUGGUAACUGACGACCUUGGUAGAGAGAGCGCCUCCGCUGAUGCGGAUGAAACUACCCCCUCUCGGGUUUGUUUGACGCCGUCUCCGUCGACUCUUUCGCCUGGGCCGGCUGGCGACCGCGCUACAUUUCUUGGGCAGUGACUCGUAACUGUGUUCACCAAACUUUUAAAACUCCCCACGUUAGCAUCUUUAAAGAAUGUUUUCCUUGUACACUGCUGCAAUGUCUUAUGUAGGCAUGUUGUACAGUCUAAACGAGUGUGGAAUGCUUUGUUGUGCUUGUUCUGUAUUUCGUUUGCUAUUUAUCACGGUGACUAUAAUUUAUUUUGACCAACCCUUGCCUUGUUACAAUUGUAGUGGAUGGUUUCUGAACUGCUGUUUGCAUUAUAGAUGUUGCUAGUGCGUAGACGCCAAAGAUUACUUUAUACCUAUUGACGCGCCAGAUAAAGGAGGUGAAGUAUUCCUCUGAUCUAUACCUACGGAAUUCCUUUAUGUGUGUUUUGUAAUCGAUAUUGGCGGUUUUCUUAUGUGAUGCGGUGUAGAGCGUGGCUGAGGAAGGCGAUGUUUAAAGUUGCUAGUUAUUUUUCAAUACAUCUUUGAUCGGAC
Long non-coding RNA from Amphibalanus amphitrite, 2064 nucleotides. RefSeq lists it as uncharacterized. NCBI's taxonomy places the organism in Eukaryota, Metazoa, Arthropoda, Thecostraca, Balanomorpha, Balanidae. The record is from RefSeq and is a predicted model, not a curated record. The transcript has 2 exons.